RNAcentral lists this microRNA precursor (104 nucleotides) under Oikopleura dioica. RNAcentral's name for it is "microRNA odi-mir-1485 precursor". Lineage: Eukaryota; Metazoa; Chordata; Appendicularia; Copelata; Oikopleuridae. The record is from miRBase by way of RNAcentral.
ACCGUUUUUUAGCUGAAGGUAAAGCUGGCUACAUAACGUUUGCGCUUAGACAGAAGACGUUAUGUUGUCCCUACCUACAGCUAGCUGCUCGCAUUUCGACAGAU